CCCUUAGAUGUUCUGGGCCGCACGCGCGCUACACUGAUGCAUUCAACGAGUCUAAAACCUGCUCUGAUAGGGGUGGGUAAUCUUUUGAAUGUGCAUCGUGAUUGGGAUAGAUGAUUGCAAUUUUUCAUCUUCAACGAGGAAUGCCUAGUAAACGCAAGUCAUCAGCUUGCAUUGAUUACGUCCCUGCCCUUUGUACACACCGCCCGUCGCUCCUACCGAUUGAAUGAUCCGAUGAAUAUCAUGGAUUGAGGAUGUAAGCAGGUUCGCCUGUCUUCAUCUUCGAGAAGUGAAGUAAAUCUUAUCAUUUAGAGGAAGGAGGAGUCGUAACA
RNAcentral lists this ribosomal RNA (329 nucleotides) under uncultured eukaryote. RNAcentral's name for it is "partial 18S ribosomal RNA". It matches the Rfam family "Eukaryotic small subunit ribosomal RNA", at positions 1470 to 1796 of the family's 1831-position model. The record is from RNAcentral.